This 429-nucleotide ribosomal RNA is filed under the name Actinomycetes bacterium. RNAcentral's name for it is "Actinobacteria bacterium partial 16S ribosomal RNA". It matches the Rfam family "Bacterial small subunit ribosomal RNA", at positions 355 to 776 of the family's 1533-position model. The record is from RNAcentral. Lineage: Bacteria; Bacillati; Actinomycetota; Actinomycetes.
UAGGGAAUCUUCCGCAAUGGGCGAAAGCCUGACGGAGCAACGCCGCGUGAGUGAUGAAGGUCUUCGGAUCGUAAAACUCUGUUAUUAGGGAAGAACAAAUGUGUAAGUAACUAUGCACGUCUUGACGGUACCUAAUCAGAAAGCCACGGCUAACUACGUGCCAGCAGCCGCGGUAAUACGUAGGUGGCAAGCGUUAUCCGGAAUUAUUGGGCGUAAAGCGCGCGUAGGCGGUUUUUUAAGUCUGAUGUGAAAGCCCACGGCUCAACCGUGGUGGGUCAUUGGAAACUGGAAAACUUGAGUGCAGAAGAGGAAAGUGGAAUUCCAUGUGUAGCGGUGAAAUGCGCAGAGAUAUGGAGGAACACCAGUGGCGAAGGCGACUUUCUGGUCUGUAACUGACGCUGAUGUGCGAAAGCGUGGGGAUCAAACAGG